GUCUGGGUGGCUCAGAUGGUUGAGCAUCUGACUUUGGCUCAGGUCGUGAUCUCAUGGUUCGUGAGUUCGAGCCCUGCCUUGGGCU
RNAcentral lists this transfer RNA (85 nucleotides) under Felis catus (domestic cat). It matches the Rfam family "tRNA". From Rfam's summary of the family: Transfer RNA (tRNA) molecules are approximately 80 nucleotides in length. Lineage: Eukaryota; Metazoa; Chordata; Mammalia; Carnivora; Felidae. The record is from Rfam by way of RNAcentral.